Molecule: long non-coding RNA, 2394 nt
Filed under: Mus musculus (house mouse)
Lineage: Eukaryota; Metazoa; Chordata; Mammalia; Rodentia; Muridae
Description: long non-coding RNA chr14:15063031-15065425
Source: RNAcentral
ACUGAGGGUAAAACUGUGCUGCAGGAAUGGAGGGCCUCAGGAUAGAGGAGAGCAUGAUCCAGGCGAUCAGUCCGAGAAAACAAAUUAUAAAGAAUUGUAGGUACUUACUAAUGCCAGGCCAGAUGAGGGAAAAUACCCUCUGUUUCCCAUCAGCUGUUUUUUUUUUCAAUGGUGUCCCCAGAGACUUCCUCUCUCUGGACCAGCCUUGCAUGUUUUCAGGUAGGCCAGCGUCAGACAGUUUAGGCCACGUGUCUGUCCUGUUUCCAGGCCUUUCAAGAGCAUGGAGCCCAGGGUCUAUUUUUGCAGCCUGUUUCCAGCCUAUAGUGUGGAUUUGCUUCACUGGUGAUGAAGGCAGCUGGGACAGGUGCCCUGCAGAACUGGUGGGUAAGGAUUUUCUGCUAGCUUAAUUUGAAGCGCACAGGGAUUCCAGCAAAACAACCAUGCCUAUAGGGAGGUAGCUUCUGAGAAGUCUUGGUCUCUGCUUCAUUUUGGUGAUUGCUCGGCAGAGAUAGGAAAUUGUACAGGCAGCCUGCCUUCAAUGGGGGAAGUCAGAACAUGCUGGAGAAUGAAACUAUGUUAAGCACAGUGGGCUCUAUUCUUGGUUGACAGAAGCAUCUCAAGACACAAACAGAUUUGUGGCAAUGACCCAGGAAUGUUACAAAGGGGUUAAUUUAGCCUUUCUGUAGGAGUAUAAAAGCCCAAAACAGCAGAUUGUGUGACAGAUGAAGGCAGGGCUAAAACCCUGUCCAUGGACAGCCCUGCUAGUCAUAUAUCAGGAAGGGACUCUUACCUAUGAUGUUUAAGCCUGUUCACCCUCAGGAUGACUAGUGCCUAUGACUUUCUCAGGAAUUACAAAUUUUCAUGCCUUAUAGAUUUCAGUCCCAAAUUUAAGUCCCAGACUAGCUGUGUCAGCUGGUUACACUAGGUGAGAGACACACUCGACUUUGCUUUUGUCCCCUCUAAGGGGCAGACAUUUUGCCUACUGUCCAUCAAAUGAGUGAGACAGUAGCAUGGAGGGGAUUUGCAACAGACACCUCUCUGCUCCUUCCUGGAACCUGGCUGUCUACAUAGAUUUGGGUGGUAGAAGUGGGCUUUGCCUCAUUUUCUUAAAGAGAGGGCCCUUGUGAAGUUUUUGCACCAAAAUUUGGCUGGAGAGAUUGCAAACCACCUCUAACAAUGCCUCACACUUUGUGCUAUGCUUAGCUGCUCAGAACUGUCUUCUGUUGUGCUUGUCCUCCAGAUAUAAACAAAGGUCCUGUUUCUUGUAGUUGAGCAACUGGCUUCCAAUGAUUGGAGAAGGAUCCAGGGCUCCCCACCAGAACUUCUGGUUUCAAGCUGAGGCUGUAAUCAUUUAUAAUCUGGUAAGAAACACUUACAUGGAUAUAAUAACACAGGCACAACACACACAAAUGUUUCAGUUUUCACUGAAGGCUUUGGUAUCAGAAACAAAGAUGUGGUAGCACGUUAGUGAGUUGCACCGUUCCUCAGAUCAGACCUGUCUUAUCCUCCAAAUCUAACCCUGAGAAGGACACUUUCUGUGCAAGACCUGUUUAACUCUUACUCCUUUCCUUGUUUUCUGCACUAGAUUUUCCCAGGGAACAGAAACAAUAGAACAAAUAUAACUUACAGUUGGGAUUUAUUACACGGCUUGCACAAUAGGUCUGUGUAGUCCCGAGUGGUUGUGUGAGCACUGGAGAGGCUCCGAAUGUGGGAUCCGUUCAGUUCACAAGGCUGAAUGUCACAGCAGCGGGUCCCAGCCUGCUUCUAAAGGCUCAGGGGAUUCCUGCAGGGUCAUUGGAAGAGUCCACAUUGGAAAGCUAAAGAUGUUGGGUUUCUAGGUCAUUGAAAGAAGGCAGCAACAGAAAACACAGAGUGAAUGCACUCACCAGCAAGGACCAACGGCAGGCAGGCAAAAGCAUCAAUAUUUUUCCCUCAACCUCUACAUCUGGGCUGGUACUGCUCUCCCUUCUGGGUAGCAUCUCCUCGAAGAGUAGUGUUGAAGCACAUCUCUUGAUUGAUCCAAGAUCCCAUCAAACUGGCAACCAAGAUAAAGAUCCCCUAAGGUAAGCCUCCUUUCUGGAGGCUCCGGAAAGUUAAAUUUCUUAUGCAGAAUAGUGAUGUUCUGCAGAACAGUGCGAGUAUGGCAUGUGUUGACACAUCUUUUCAUGCCCCAGGCAGAUGCUCUUGGGUUCUAAGGGAAAUAGAUCUCUGUUGAAACUGUUCAUUCUGCUGCUUCUGGGUUAAAGUAUUCUGGAUGGUAGCCAGCAAUCACGGCUGUGUCUCAAUAAAAUUUUUGUUUACAAAAACAAGUGCCUAUCAUUCCUACUCUAUGUCACCCGGUCCUUUUAACUGCACUGAACAUAUUGUAUGAGUCAUGAAUUGCUUCUUUUUACU